Molecule: unclassified non-coding RNA, 20 nt
Filed under: Mus musculus (house mouse)
Lineage: Eukaryota; Metazoa; Chordata; Mammalia; Rodentia; Muridae
Description: oocyte_clustered_small_RNA13956
Source: RNAcentral
AUCAGCGCCGUGCAGCAGGU